GACGAACGCUGGCGGCGUGCUUAACACAUGCAAGUCGAACGGAAAGGCCCUGCUUUUGUGGGGUGCUCGAGUGGCGAACGGGUGAGUAGCACGUGAGUAACCUGCCCUUGACUUUGGGAUAACUUCAGGAAACUGGGGCUAAUACCGGAUAGGAGCUCCUGCGGCAUGGUGGGGGUUGGAAAGUUUCGGCGGUUGGGGAUGGACUCGCGGCUUAUCAGCUUGUUGGUGGGGUAGUGGCUUACCAAGGCUUUGACGGGUAGCCGGCCUGAGAGGGUGACCGGCCACAUUGGGACUGAGAUACGGCCCAGACUCCUACGGGAGGCAGCAGUGGGGAAUAUUGCACAAUGGGCGGAAGCCUGAUGCAGCAACGCCGCGUGCGGGAUGACGGCCUUCGGGUUGUAAACCGCUUUCGCCUGUGACGAAGCGUGAGUGACGGUAAUGGGUAAAGAAGCACCGGCUAACUACGUG
This 468-nucleotide ribosomal RNA is filed under the name uncultured bacterium. RNAcentral describes it as "partial 16S ribosomal RNA". It matches the Rfam family "Bacterial small subunit ribosomal RNA", at positions 28 to 507 of the family's 1533-position model. The record is from RNAcentral.